This 823-nucleotide long non-coding RNA is filed under the name Nicotiana benthamiana. RNAcentral's name for it is "long non-coding RNA (NBEN_LNC013307)". The record is from RNAcentral. Lineage: Eukaryota; Viridiplantae; Streptophyta; Magnoliopsida; Solanales; Solanaceae.
UCCCCCAAUUAGAGGAAAAAAAGAUUCGUUGUCAAGAUGAUGUCCAGAUCAUAUACCAAUCUUUUGGAUUUGGCAUCUGGGAAUUUUCCUGUAAUGGGAAGAGAGAGGGAGCGGCCGCGGAUGAUGCCACGUGUAAUGACAGUGCCGGGGAAUAUAUGUGAGCUGGAUGAUGACCUGGCUCAUAGUGUUUCUUCUGAUAACUUAUCUUCACUUGCUGGUGAUCGGAUGAUUAUUGUGGCGAAUCUGUUGCCACUGAAAGCAAAAAGGAGACCGGACAAUAAAGGCUGGAGCUUUAGUUGGAAUGAUGGGAGUAUAUGUGAGCUGGAUGAUGACCUGGCUCAUAGUGUUUCUUCUGAUAACUUAUCUUCACUUGCUGGUGAUCGGAUGAUUAUUGUGGCAAAUCUGUUGCCGCUGAAAGCAAAAAGGAGACCGGACAAUAAAGGCUGGAGCUUUAGUUGGAAUGAGGACUCAUUGCUUUUGAGACUUAAGGAUGGUUUACCUGAAGAUAUGGAAGUCUUAUUUGUUGGGUCUUUAUCCAUUGAUGUUGAUCCAAUUGAACAGGAUGAUGUUUCUAGCUAUCUUUUAGAUAAAUUUAGAUGCGUGCCAACGUUUCUUCCCCAAUUCAUGUUGUUAUUUGUUGGGUCUUUAUCCAUUGAUGUUGAUCCAAUUGAACAAGAUGACGUUUCUAGCUAUCUUUUAGAUAAAUUUAGAUGCGUGCCAACGUUUCUUCCGCCUAAUAUUUUGGAGAAAUAUUAUGAGGGCUUCUGCAAGAGGCAUUUGUGGCCGCUUUUUCACUACAUGUUGCCAUUUUCACCUGAUCACG